UGAACAUUCCAGGCUCUGUGAACUAAGGUAAGUAGGCCUCUCCAUCCUGAUAGCGAGGGAGGCCUCAUCGGGUUUGACCCCGGCAUGCUUUGACACCUUUUUCACUGUUGGAAGAUGCUCUGACUUUAAAGUAGAAAGCAGACUUGACUGAAGCUGAUUGACACAGGUCAAGGGGACUUCAAGGAAGAAAGCCAGCCUUAGACUGACAUCAGAGAACCAAACUCCGGUGUCUAAGCUCAAGAGGUUAGAAUCCUGAGAACUGUUUGGAAUAAGGAAUCCAAAUAUUGUCUUCCAGCUUCACCUUGUCACGACAGUCCUCGCCAGGGACAGCUGAGACCUCUUCUCUGCCUCCCAGCUCCCAUGGCGCCUCUCUCGAUACGUGGCCUCUUCUGAUACUUACCUCAGCUUGGACACAGCUCUCUGAAGAUCAUCUACAUCUCCAUUUAUGCCGUGUGCACGCAGUACCAACAGAGGUCAGAGGAGGGUGUCGGAUCCCCUGGAACUGGAGUCACAGAUUCUUCCUUGCGUGGAUGAAACAGUCCCAACGAACACUUUAAAAAGACAAAUGUUCCCGACAGCACUGGUUGAAUUCAAAACUCGGCAGAUCCAUGUUCUUAUCCUUAGACAAGAGAGGGGCCAUAACAAGAUGGAAUGACGGAACAGACGUGAGAGAUGAUGGUACAGUGACUCGGGUAACCCCAGAAAAGGGACAGCUCUUCUACAGCUCAGUGGGGACAGGGACAAAAAGAAACAAUUUCAUUUCAGUCCACCCAGAGGGUCUGCACUUCUCGGAGCCAGAAGGUGGAGAAGAGUAGGGAUGGAGGAAGUUCGAAGUUUUAGGAGUCUGCUCUUGGGUCCCUAGGCAUGAGGACAAGCUUUUCCUGUACUCAAUGCUCAUCUCUCAGUUGUGCCCACAUUGGUACACAUUACUUGCUUUCAACUGCUGCUGCUGCUGUUUCCUAAUUCAAUAAAGAUAUGGCUGGCUCAGCAGAGAGCUGUCAUCCA
RNAcentral lists this long non-coding RNA (1005 nucleotides) under Mus musculus (house mouse). Its description in RNAcentral is "predicted gene 29154, transcript variant 10 (Gm29154)". Lineage: Eukaryota; Metazoa; Chordata; Mammalia; Rodentia; Muridae. The record is from RNAcentral.